Pelobates cultripes (western spadefoot toad) is the source of this 314-nucleotide non-coding RNA. NCBI's taxonomy places the organism in Eukaryota, Metazoa, Chordata, Amphibia, Anura, Pelobatidae. The record is from the annotation of a GenBank genome assembly.
GGGUAAUUAAAUUAUACAGUAAAGCAUACUCACACGUAGACACAUACAAUCUUAUUGACUAAGUCAUACACAGGCACACACAGACAAGCUUACUUGUGCACACACACAAAUUUAGUACAGACAAACUGUUAUACACACAAGCUUACUACAGACAAGCUCACUGAAGCGAACACACUCUCCCUACAGACACGCCCAUUGACACACACACUCCCUAAAGAAGAGCUCACUAACACACAGAUUCACUACAGACAAGCUCACUGACACACACAUCUUAACUAGAUACAAGCUCAAUGACACACACAUGGUCACUACAG